UACGGAGGGGGCUAGCGUUAUUCGGAAUUACUGGGCGUGAAGCGUUCGUAGGCGGCUUUGUAAGUCAGAGGUGAGAGCCCACGACUCAAUCGUGGAACUGCCUUUGAGACUGCUUCGCUUGAAGAUGGGAGAGGUUAGUGGAAUUCCGAGUGUAGAGGUGAAAUUCGUAGAUAUUCGGAAGAACACCAGUGGCGAAGGCGGCUAACUGGACCAUUCUUGACGCUGAGGAGCUAAAGCGUGGGCAGCAAACAGG
Molecule: ribosomal RNA, 253 nt
Filed under: uncultured bacterium
Lineage: Bacteria
Description: partial 16S ribosomal RNA
Rfam family: Bacterial small subunit ribosomal RNA
Source: RNAcentral